AUUGAACGCUGGCGGCAUGCCUUACACAUGCAAGUCGAACGGCAGCAUGGAGAGCUUGCUCUCUGAUGGCGAGUGGCGAACGGGUGAGUAACGCAUCGGAACGUACCGUGUAAUGGGGAUAACGUAGCGAAAGUUACGCUAAUACCGCAUACGACCUGAGGGUGAAAGCAGGGGAUCGCAAGACCUUGCGUUAUACGAGCGGCCGAUGUCAGAUUAGCUAGUUGGUGAGGUAAAGGCUCACCAAGGCGACGAUCUGUAGCGGGUCUGAGAGGACGAUCCGCCACACUGGGACUGGGACACGGCCCAGACUCCUACGGGAGGCAGCAGUGGGGAAUUUUGGACAAUGGGGGCAACCCUGAUCCAGCCAUGCCGCGUGAGUGAAGAAGGCCUUCGGGUUGUAAAGCUCUUUCGGCCGGGAAGAAAUCGCACAGGCUAAUACUCUGUGUGGAUGACGGUACCGGCAUAAGAAGCACCGGCUAACUACGUGCCAGCAGCCGCCGUAA
This 503-nucleotide ribosomal RNA is filed under the name uncultured bacterium. RNAcentral describes it as "partial 16S ribosomal RNA". It matches the Rfam family "Bacterial small subunit ribosomal RNA", at positions 30 to 523 of the family's 1533-position model. The record is from RNAcentral.